CGCCGGAGCAGACGCGCUGAACGCUUCCAGAUGUGGCGGCGGCGCGCGGCGGGGACCGGAGCCCGAGUGGAGCGGCGGCGCCACGCGAGAAGCCCUGGCUGCGAGACGGCGGGGAGCGAGCCCGGGAACGGACACACCUCCAGGAGCCGGGCCUCGGCCUGCAGACCCCCACCCUCCCGAGGCCCCCCGCGGCUCCCUCGCGUCCCUUGGGGGGGCCACCGCCACGCCAGCAAGGCCUGGGAGGGGAAUCCCGGGAACACGGAAUACAAUGUGCCCAACUCCCGGCCUCUUUCACAUCGACCGAACGAAACAGCAAAAUGAGCCGUGAUUCUGUUGAUCAAUUACAAUCAGAGCGGUUGUAGAAGUGACACAUACAGGCGAGGAUGGGCAGAUGGGCGGGGAGAGAGAAAGAGCCCAAGAGGCGGAGCCUCGUGGGCAAGGCAGCGGUGGUGCCCAGAUGUCUGAACAGAUUAAUACAGCCAGGUUUGCUCCCUCCUUGGGGGCAGGCGAGCACGUGUGCUGCCAGUGUACCUUUACCUACUUAAUUAUUUCUGCCACCCUAGCGGGGAGCUAUGAAGCACUUCUCUCCGACACCCGCUGUCACAGUUAAUAUCCAAAGCACCUCCUGCAGGCACGACCCUCUAGAUGGGGCUGGUGAGCCCAUUCUGAGAGGGCCUACCACUGGGAAACCCGGUCUAGAUAGCAGCCCUUAGCCUGCCUCAUUCCCUGUCUCCAGGUUCCCUAACUGACCCUAUCGUCUAUCUACGUGGCUUUAAGUAAGGGGCUCUGUCAGCUGCAAAUCUUCAAUCCAGACCUUUCUUCUGACCCAGACGCCAGUCAACUUGCCCUCUCCACUUGAAACCGAAACCUCAUGUAUCCAGGCCUGCUCGUCACACAGCCUUCCCCCCAACUCGGCUGACCCCUCUAGCUGCUCAUGUAAGAACCCUGGAGUCAUCUCGUCUUGAUUUCUCCCGCAGCCCCACAUCAGUGUAUCAUGGGAUUCACCUUAGACAGAAUGCAGCGUAACCUCCCUCACUUCUGCUGCCGCCUUCCAGGGCUGAGCCAGUAGUACCUGUUCUCUGGUCACCCUCCUCUCCUCAAGUACGUUCUCCUCGCAGCAAUUGGAACAACCCACUUAAAAUGGUGCUCUUCUAACCCAGACCAUCCAAUGACCUCUUUUGUCACUUCAGUGAAAGUCACAAUAACCUACAAGGACUGCAGGAACGGCUGUAUAUGACUUCCAUCGCCGGUUCCUACUGUGUGCCCUCGCUGCUCCUCCAAGCAUGCCAGAAAUGAUCCGCUCGUCCCGCACACACAAACCUCUUGUCUUCUGCUCUACUUGUCCCAACUUCCUGCAGUGUUCCUUCCCUAGACAUCUUCUGUAGAAGAUGCUUUCCCUCCUUGGAGACCUUGCUCGGAGUUCACCUCAGUGACCCCCAUCUUGAUCUUACCCCAAAUGGCGGAAACUAAAACCCAUGUUCCAUGGCCAGGGGCACCCAACUGGGACUUAGUCCAGGAGAAUCUGACACCAAAUGCAUGUUUCUUGUAUUAUCCUGCUCUCUGCUGAGAGGAUGGCCAAGGGUGACAUGGCAGGCGGUAGAGUUUCGAGAACUGACUGCAAAAUGUGCUUCACAAAAUACCAUGGAGCUGAGAACGAAGCACUUGGGUGUUGGGGGUCACAGGUUCGACAGCCUGACUUUUCCGUAAGUAGGCGGUGUAGAAACCUAACAGGCAAACAUUCCCUCCACACUGCUUCACUUUCGUUUUUCACUUCACCUCUCUUUUCAGCUGUUAAUGUGUUCUUUCCUUUCCAGAAAAAGUCACUUCCUAAAUAUUUGGUCUUCAAAGUACGCCCAUAUCCCACUUUCUAACUUUGGAACCCGGUCCUGGAUGUUCUUCUGCAAGGUAACAAAUUCUCCACCCACCAGGGACCAUUUAGAAUUGUGAUGUGGGGUGUGGGAGGUGCGGGAGCAGAAGGAGCAGCAUGCCUCUCUCUCCCUCACAGCUUUGACCCUAGCUACAAAUGUUCUCUCUUCUCCUGCUCCCCACGUCUUUCCCUGUGCGGGGCCUGCCACACAGCAGUGGACCUGUGCACAUGCCACCCCAUUCCCCCACACACAUGUGCGCGUACACACACACACACACACACACACACACACACACACACACACCCCACUUCCUACAUCUUAAGAGAGUGAACUGUGCUCUCUCCUCUACACAGUGCUUUGUACAUAUGGACACUCAGUGUCUACUAUGUAUAGCUUACUCUGGACAAGAUUCUACUCUUUGGAAACAAGAUUCUAUUCCUUUGGAAACAAGAGUGCAGUGAAUAAGUUAAUUGCAGUGUAUUUAUGUAACUGAGAAAACCCGAAAAUAAUCUAAAUAACAAAAUGCCGGUUAAAUAAAAACAUUUCAGAAUUA
This is a long non-coding RNA of Peromyscus californicus insignis, 2421 nucleotides long. RefSeq lists it as uncharacterized. The record is from RefSeq and is a predicted model, not a curated record. The transcript is spliced from 2 exons. NCBI's taxonomy places the organism in Eukaryota, Metazoa, Chordata, Mammalia, Rodentia, Cricetidae.